RNAcentral lists this ribosomal RNA (441 nucleotides) under uncultured bacterium. RNAcentral describes it as "partial 16S ribosomal RNA". It matches the Rfam family "Bacterial small subunit ribosomal RNA", at positions 338 to 795 of the family's 1533-position model. The record is from RNAcentral.
CCUACGGGAGGCAGCAGUGGGGAAUAUUGGGCAAUGGACGAAGCUUGACCCAGCAACGCCGCGUGAAGGAAGAAGUCUUUCGUGUGGUAAACUUCUCUUGUAUGUGAAGAGUAGAAGACGGUAGCUGGCGAUUAAGCCACUGCUAACUACGUGAGAGCAGCCGCGGUAAUACGUAGGUGGCACGCGUUGUCCGGAUUUACUGGGUGUAAAGGGCGUGUAGCCGGGUUGACAAGUCAGAUGUGAAAUCCUGCGGCUUAACCGCAGAACUGCAUUUGAAACUGUUGAUCUUGAGUACAGGAGAGGCAGACGGAAUUCGUAGUGUAGCGGUGAAAUGCGUAGAUAUUAGGAGGAACACCAGUGGCGAAGGCGGUCUGCUGGACAGCAACUGACAGUGAGGCGCGAAAGCGUGGGGAGCAAACAGGAUUAGAUACCCGUGUAGUC